Molecule: long non-coding RNA, 1649 nt
Filed under: Homo sapiens (human)
Lineage: Eukaryota; Metazoa; Chordata; Mammalia; Primates; Hominidae
Description: non-protein coding lnc-GSDMC-34:14
Source: RNAcentral
GCUACAGUGCUACUGGCCCAUAAUCAGGCAACUGCAGAGUCUUAGGGGGUUAUCUAAUGUAGUCUUGGGGUGGCUGGAUAGACUUCCCAAAGAAGGUGAUGCCGAAGCUGAGGUCGGAAAUUACGAAGAUCAGCUAUCAAACUUGGAAAUCAUGUCUUAGAGAUCAAGGAGCCAAGAGAUGAGACAAGCCUGGGUUCCUAGGUGAUAGGGUGUGGCUGUGUCCCCACCCAAAUCUCGUCUUGAAUUGUAGCUCCCAUAAUCCCCACAUGUUGUGGAGGGACCCUGUGGAAGGAAGGCCUGAGGAGAGAAGACACAUAGUCAUGCUGACUAAACCAGAUCACCUAGAAUUACCAAAUGGAAAGAUUGUGCCUGCAGCCUGGCCUGUUGCCCACAGCGGUCUACCUGCCACACUGGGAAAGAUCGAGCAGAGACAGAGAAGAAAAGGAGGCUCCAUUUUUCAGGCUGCUCUCCCGCAGGCUCAUGUUUUGUGUUCAUGCCAGGCAGAGAACACAAAAUGUUCCAAUAAAUAAGUAUCAAAGGUUAGUGGUGAAAAUGAAGGAGGAGGAGGCAUUGCGUGAAAAACUAAACAUGCAAAAUAUUACACACAAAGAGAACCAAAAUGCAGGUUCACUGGAAAUGAUAGACAAUAUGUUAAAACAAGAGGAGAGAAGAGAGCUGAAAUAAUCAAAUGGAAACACACAAUUUAGGGCUAAGAUCUUGUUGUGUUCAGCCACAAAUGAUGGCCAGCAGUGAGGAAUCUGUGUGUUCUCCACACUCUUCGCUCCUGGGAAGUCAACUCACAUGGACCAUGAUAUCAAUAUCUGCUCCUUCCCCUAAUAUCUGUUUGACCUUGGGUCAGUUACUUAAACUUCCUAAGCCUUAGUUUCUUUGUCUGGAAAAUAGGGAUAGUUAUACCUACCACACAACCACUUUGUAAUGAAUAUGUUGGAAAUUAUAUGCAAAUUGGCUUCCGUUGGUGUUUGGAACAUAGUAGGUUUUUAACUGGAAUAUAAUAGCUACCAUUAUCAGUAUCAUCAUAUUAAUUUAUAUUUCCAUCUUCAGCCCUUAACCCAGGAUCUUCAGUAAAUGUUGAAUUCUCAAAUUUGUUAAAUUCACUUGUCUAUACUAAUAUUUUACUCUAGGUUUCUUAGAAUAUUCUAGAUAAUAUUAUUAUGUAGAAUAUGUUAUGUAAGCUUCAUCUUAUCUGUAAAUAUAGUUUUACUUUUUCCUUUCUAAUUUUUAUGUCGAUUACUUCUUUUUCUUGGCUUAUUGAAUUGGCUAGGAUUCCCGUACAGUGUUGAAUACGUGCAGCAAGACUGCACAUCUUGCCUUGUUCCUGGUCCCACAGAGAGAAUAUCCAGUACUUCACAAUAAGUAUGUGUUAAUUGUAGAUUUUAUUAGAUUGAGGAAGUUCCCUUUCCUUUCAAGUCAGUCUUUUUAUUUUAAACAUGUAUUGAAGUUUUGUCAAAUGUCUUCAUCUAUUGGAAUAAUUAUACAUAUCUCUUUUUUAUUCUGUUAAUAUUACAUUUCAAUCUUCUGUCUACCUAAAAUCCCUAGAAUAAUCUCCAUUUGGCUAUGAUGUGUUGUGCUUUUAUAUAUUACUGAAUUCUAUAUGCCAAUAUUAUUAAAAUUUUCUGUCUUUAUGAGAA